GAACGCUAGCGGCAGGUCUAAUACAUGCAAGUCGAGGGGCAGCACAGGUAGCAAAAUACUGGGUGGCGACCGGAAGAAACGCACGGGAUGCGUAACAGUCGUAUACAAUCUGCCCAUAUCAGGGGACAUAGCCUUCGGAUCCGAAAUUCGGAUUAAUGCCCCAUAACAUAGUGAAUUGGCAUCAAUUUAUUAUUAAAGUUCCGACGGAUAUGGAUGAGUAUGCGGAUGAUUAGCUAGUUGGUAGUGUAAUGGACUACCAAGGCUACGAUCAAUAGGGGUACUGAGAGGUUAAACCCCCACACUGGUACUGAAGACACGGGACCAGAUUCCUACGGGAGGCAGCAGUAAGGAUUAUUGGAACAAGCUUGGUGGCAACACUGAUUCAGCCCUUGCCGCCUGGCAGGAUGAAAGCCCCUCCCGUUGUAAACCUGCUUUUGGACCGGAAAAAAACUAAUCUAGGGGUAAAUAAAAAAAAAGUUACCGUAUGAAUAAACCUUCGUCUAACUUCGUGGCCAGGCAGCCGAGGUAAUUCGAAGUAUGCAAGCCUUAUCAGGAUUUAUCGGGUUUAAUGGGUACGUAGGCGGACUUAUAAGUCAGUGGUGAAAUACUCCGAUGCUUAACAUCGAACGUGCCAUUGAUACUGUAGGUCUUGAGUACAGAUCCCGUUGGCGGAAUGAGUCAUGUAGCGGUGAAAUGCAUAGAUAUGGGAGGAGAACACCGAUUGUCGAAGGCAGCUGACGAAACUGUAACUGACACCUGCUGAGGCACGAAAGCGUGGGGAUCAACACAAAAUUAGAUACCCUUUUGAGUAGUCCACGCCCUAAAAUCCGCUUACUCAUUCUGUGCGUCCUAUACACAGCCGCUAGCACAUUCAGCGAAGCAGCUACACGGCUAAGUAAUCCACCAAGAAACUUCUCUCGCAAGGGUGAAACUCAAAGGAAUUGACGGGGGCCCGCACAAGCGGAGGAGCAUGUGGUUUAAUUCGAUGAUACGCGAGGAACCUUACCCGGGCUUGAAAGUUAGUGACCGGUGGUGAAAGCCACUUUUCAGCAAUGACACGAAACUAGGUGCUGCAUGGCUGUCGUCAGCUCGUGCCGUGA
RNAcentral lists this ribosomal RNA (1100 nucleotides) under uncultured bacterium. RNAcentral describes it as "bacterial SSU rRNA". It matches the Rfam family "Bacterial small subunit ribosomal RNA", at positions 31 to 1070 of the family's 1533-position model. The record is from RNAcentral.